RNAcentral lists this ribosomal RNA (400 nucleotides) under uncultured bacterium. RNAcentral describes it as "bacterial SSU rRNA". It matches the Rfam family "Bacterial small subunit ribosomal RNA", at positions 355 to 746 of the family's 1533-position model. The record is from RNAcentral.
UGGGGAAUAUUGGACAAUGGGGGGAACCCUGAUCCAGCCAUGCCGCGUGUGUGAAGAAGGCCUUAUGGUUGUAAAGCACUUUAAGCGAGGAGGAGGGUACUGGUAUUAAUACUACCAGGUACUGGACGUUACUCGCAGAAUAAGCACCGGCUAACUCUGUGCCAGCAGCCGCGGUAAUACAGAGGGUGCGAGCGUUAAUCGGAUUUACUGGGCGUAAAGCGUGCGUAGGCGGCUAAUUGAGUCGGAUGUGAAAUCCCCGAGCUUAACUUGGGAAUUGCAUUCGAUACUGGUUAGCUAGAGUGUGGGAGAGGAUGGUAGAAUUCCAGGUGUAGCGGUGAAAUGCGUAGAGAUCUGGAGGAAUACCGAUGGCGAAGGCAGCCAUCUGGCCUAACACUGACGC